Molecule: non-coding RNA, 74 nt
Organism: Phrynosoma platyrhinos (Desert horned lizard)
Lineage: Eukaryota; Metazoa; Chordata; Lepidosauria; Squamata; Phrynosomatidae
Source: the annotation of a GenBank genome assembly
GGGUAAGUGCGGCAUAGUGGCUUGGGCGCUGGACUGCAAAACUGGAGACCAGGGUUCGAAUCCUGGCUCGGCCA